This 244-nucleotide ribosomal RNA is filed under the name uncultured Eubacteriales bacterium. Its description in RNAcentral is "uncultured Clostridiales bacterium partial 16S ribosomal RNA". It matches the Rfam family "Bacterial small subunit ribosomal RNA", at positions 796 to 1041 of the family's 1533-position model. The record is from RNAcentral. Lineage: Bacteria; Bacillati; Bacillota; Clostridia; Eubacteriales.
CACGCCGUAAACGAUGAGUGCUAGGUGUUGGGGGUCAAACCUCGGUGCCGCAGUUAACACAUUAAGCACUCCGCCUGGGGAGUACGUGCGCAAGCAUGAAACUCAAAGGAAUUGACGGGGACCCGCACAAGCAGCGGAGCAUGUGGUUUAAUUCGAUGCAACGCGAAGAACCUUACCAGGGCUUGACAUAUAUGCGCUAGCACUAGAGAUAGUGGGUUCUCUUCGGAGACGUAUAUACAGGUGG